CGCCUCUAGAGGAAAAAUUAGAGGUUCAUCCUGCCCUAUGAAUAGAUUUAAAUGGCCGCGGUAUUUUGACCGUGUUAAGGUAGCAUAAUAAUUUGCUUUUUAAUUGAAGGCUUGUAUGAAUGGAUAAACGAGAAUAAAGCUGUCUCAAUUUUAGUAAUAUAAAUUAAUAUUCAAAUGAAGAAGUUUGAAUGAUAUAAAAAGACAAGAAGACCCUGUUGAGCUUUAUUUAUUAUAAAAUAUAGUAAAAUUAAUUAUUAAUUAUUUUAAAUAUAAAUUUAAUUGGGGUGAUUGAGGAAGAAAAAAAAUCUUCCUAGAUAUUUAAAGAUUUUUAAAUCUUAUUGUGUAUCCAUAAAAAUGAAUAAAUAAUAAGCUACCACAGGGAUAACAGGCUAAUUUCUUUUGAGAGUUCAUAUCGAAAAAGAAGUUUGGCACCUCGAUGUUGGCUUAGGAUAAGAGUUAAAUGCAGAAGUUUAAUAGGCUGGGUUUGUUCAACCCUUAAAUUCCU
RNAcentral lists this ribosomal RNA (505 nucleotides) under Spiophanes hakaiensis. RNAcentral describes it as "partial 16S ribosomal RNA". It matches the Rfam family "Bacterial large subunit ribosomal RNA", at positions 1827 to 2597 of the family's 2925-position model. Lineage: Eukaryota; Metazoa; Annelida; Polychaeta; Spionida; Spionidae. The record is from RNAcentral.